RNAcentral lists this ribosomal RNA (481 nucleotides) under Streptococcus parasanguinis. RNAcentral's name for it is "bacterial SSU rRNA". It matches the Rfam family "Bacterial small subunit ribosomal RNA", at positions 28 to 493 of the family's 1533-position model. The record is from RNAcentral. Lineage: Bacteria; Bacillati; Bacillota; Bacilli; Lactobacillales; Streptococcaceae.
GAUGAACGCUGGCGGCGUGCCUAAUACAUGCAAGUAGAACGCUGAAGCUUGGUGCUUGCACCGAGCGGAUGAGUUGCGAACGGGUGAGUAACGCGUAGGUAACCUGCCUCUUAGCGGGGGAUAACUAUCGGAAACGAUAGCUAAUACCGCAUAAAAGACGAUAUCGCAUGAUAUUGAUUUGAAAGGUGCAAUUGCAUCACUAAGAGAUGGACCUGCGUUGUAUUAGCUAGUUGGUGAGGUAACGGCUCACCAAGGCGACGAUACAUAGCCGACCUGAGAGGGUGAUCGGCCACACUGGGACUGAGACACGGCCCAGACUCCUACGGGAGGCAGCAGUAGGGAAUCUUCGGCAAUGGGGGCAACCCUGACCGAGCAACGCCGCGUGAGUGAAGAAGGUUUUCGGAUCGUAAAGCUCUGUUGUAAGAGAAGAACGAGUGUGAGAGUGGAAAGUUCACACUGAGACGUAACUACCAGAAAGGAC